GAAUUGGCCAACAUCUUUGGCACUUGGCCUGCUGCCAAAGUCGUAUACAUCAUUGGGAAAUGAAAUCAACCGAAACUUCUCAUGACGUACAUCAAAUGAUAUGAUGAAGUCACGUCCUUUUCUAAGGGUUUUCCAGUGAAUGGCCCCAUUCCAGAAUAUCGGUUCAAAUACUUCAUCAAAAUCCUGCCAACCAUCAGGUACAUCCAAUCUCCUCCACGAACUCGCUCCCAAUGUAGUCACUUCGAAGAACCUUCUUCCUUCAUUAACAUAUGUCCGCAGAACUUUGUACUUUCCUGCUGAAGGAUCGAAACCGAGUCCAACUUCAU
This is a long non-coding RNA of Rhodamnia argentea, 326 nucleotides long. RefSeq lists it as uncharacterized. The record is from RefSeq and is a predicted model, not a curated record. NCBI's taxonomy places the organism in Eukaryota, Viridiplantae, Streptophyta, Magnoliopsida, Myrtales, Myrtaceae. The transcript is spliced from 2 exons.